This 57-nucleotide microRNA precursor is filed under the name Cavia porcellus (domestic guinea pig). RNAcentral's name for it is "Cpo-Mir-506-P27a_pre stem-loop". The record is from RNAcentral. Lineage: Eukaryota; Metazoa; Chordata; Mammalia; Rodentia; Caviidae.
UAUUCAGAAUGGCCUUGGUCAUUUGGAUUAUAUGUCACCAAGGUCUUUCUGAGUAGA